AGCCGUUGGUACAAGGAGCUCUGCUCCUUGACACUGAACUAGUUAGAGCACAACCCUUGACUACAGGCCCCUGCGCCUCAGUGCUGGCUCAGUGCCUUUUCAAUGUUGUCUCUAACCAUGUCACAUCCAGAAAGCAGGUUUGACGAGAGACGCUGCGAGGGGGCUUGAUCACGUGACUUUUCUAAAGCGAUGAAGUGAGAAUCCAAGGCUGCGUCCACACUCACAUAGCUAGCCAUGUUCUGCAGGGAGAGAAUUCAUCACCCUCAGGAAGUUGGAUAGAGUUUUGAUCCUGUAUCAUCGUAGUCAUUGUCGUCAUUGACAUCAUCAUCAUCACAGAUGCCAAACGAGUCCAUGGUAGAGAAGGUACUGGAACCCUGCCAGGAUCUUUAGGGUCCUGGUUGAUUUGACAAUUUAUGAUGUUCACUCCAUCGUAUCCUAGAAACUCAGCGGUUUGUUUGUUUUUUUAACCCAAGUCCUUCUGAGUGUGGAACUUACUUUCGUCCAAAAGCAUGAACUUGACACUUGGAUCCACAAGGAAAAACCAGGCCCGCCAGGCAGGAAGGUCCACUCCCUCUCUGAUGGAGAGGCUCGUCCUGGAGCAGAUGACCUUGGAGAUUGCAUUAGAAUAAAAACAAAGAACACUUCCUGA
Long non-coding RNA from Mus musculus (house mouse), 649 nucleotides. RefSeq annotates it as expressed sequence AV205837. NCBI's taxonomy places the organism in Eukaryota, Metazoa, Chordata, Mammalia, Rodentia, Muridae. The record is from RefSeq and is marked validated. The transcript has 2 exons.